Molecule: long non-coding RNA, 2096 nt
Filed under: Fukomys damarensis (Damara mole-rat)
Lineage: Eukaryota; Metazoa; Chordata; Mammalia; Rodentia; Bathyergidae
Description: lncRNA (ENSFDAG00000029957.1)
Source: RNAcentral
GUACGAUGCUGGCUAAGAAAUCUCAUCUCAAGAACACCAUUCUACCUUGCCAAGACCAGUAUUUUUCAGGAGGCCAAAAUUAUAAUUGCCCGUUAUCCACCGCGACGUCAGAACCUAGUGUUGACGUUUCCACGGAGACUUGGGUCUCUUUCUGGGCUGCUGGUCUCCUGGACAACAGUGAGCCCCAACAAGCACCACAGGCACAGGGUAAGUUCUGCUUCUCUGCUUUCCUGAUAGACCUAGAGCCCUUUUCUAGAGCCAUGGCUGCAAAGCAUCAUGGGCUGGGACUCUGUAGAAGAGGGAUGUUAGAGCAAAUUUAAGACCUCAUAUCCUUUCUGUUUCAAUCAUAAAACUUAGUAAUUUUUAGGUGCCAAGGAGUGAAAAUAGGAUUAUUGCUUUUACUUGCUGCACAAUAUGUAUUUCUCCCUACACUUUAUAGUUUUUAAAGAUUCUCAACUUAUUGAGAGAGUUUGAUCUGGUUUAAAGUUUUAUGAAGAACAUUCUAGUAAGAUGUAUUUGGAGUCCAGAUGUCAGUUGGAAAAUUGCUUUUGGAAUUCAGCAAAGCUUCCUUGAGUGUAGAAGAAGAGCAAGAGUGAAUAAUUUGAUUUUAUGGAAGUAAUUAUUCCCUUUUAUACACAAAAUGGACUUUAGCUGAAGAAAAGUAUAAAGAAAAUUACAUGCAUUAAUUUUGAACCUGGAGCUUGGUGGGUGAUCCUUAUAAAUAUUAAGGGAAUUACUGUACUGCAUUUAAUUUUCUGUAAAAUAAAACUCACAAAUACCUCAGAAUUAAAUAUCUGCACUAUUACCCAGUAUGCCACAUGAUUUGGGGAAAAAGAUUAAGAAAAACACAAACAAAAACUCAAAAAUUUUGAAAUACCUUUAUAUGUCAGGGAGAACAUAUGUUGAGUCUUAUAUGUUUAUAUGUUCACUUUAAUGCUAUACUAUGAACAACAAUGAAAACAGGAUGUUCAGUGAAAUGAAAUCAACUCUUUAUACAACUUUGUUCCUGUUUCUCAUCAUUUCACUUACGAAAAAAAAUACUUCAGUGAUAGUGAUUUCAGUAGAGCAGGACAAAAGUUAGAAUGAUAGUAAAUGAAUAGAAAAUGUAAUUAUGUUAGCACGCCCCCCCCAAUUUUUUAUUGAUAAGUAUACUUGGCUGUCACAUAUAGGGAAAAAACACUCUGAAACCUUAUAAAAAUGUGCAGACAAAAACAGUUGCAACAUAAAAGGUGUAGAUGCAGUCUUGCAAUGUUCAUCAAGGUCCUCAGAGACACAAGGUGCACACUAUUUUAAAGUAGAAAGUGCUACCACAUAGAAUUCUGAAUAAAUAAGGUCCACUCAAUUUAACAGGCCUGUAGGCAGAAAGAAAAACAGUAGCAUCCCACGACAGGAUUAAUUAUGAAGCCAAACCCUCUUUUAUGAAGCAUUACAUCUUUAGAAAAAUAGAGUAGAAAUUAGAAAAAAAUAUGUUGGAAUCAAAAUAUUUUACUUCGCAGAAUGGUAGAGACAAAAAAUAUUUGAAUGGGUUAGUGAUACCGAUGCAACAAUUUUAUUAAUUAAGCCAGCAGGACCAUGAGUAGCAACGAAGAAUGUGCCAAGUUACCUCCUAAAAAAUUCACCUCUUGGCCAGGGAUUUAGCUCAGUGGUUCCACUGCUUGCCUUGCAAAUGCAAGGACCCGAGUUAGAUCCCUGGUACAAACAAAGAAACAAACAAAUAAAUAAAUAAUUCGCCUCUUUAACCAGGCUGACGACAGUGCGUACAUAUCUUCCUGUCAGCCCUUGCUUGCUCCUCUCUUCUGAAAGCUUUAAAUGUUUUAUUUUCCUAUGUGGAAAAAAUAGCUAUUUCAAGAAAGAUAAUUGCACCUAUUAGACUUUGGAAAUUGUCUGAUGAAUUUGUUGUACACAGACAGAGAGUGUGUUUCCUCUGCUGCUCAACUUUUGUUUCCACAUAGAACCAGCCUGUGACUUGAAUUUUCCUGUUCCGGAUUCCUGUUCGUGGGAAGAAGCACAGCUCUCCUCGCAGCUCUACCGAAACAAGCAGGUAUGUACUCAAGAGAGACUGUUCUCUGCUGUGUCUUCUUUUCACUUCAUGUUGG